RNAcentral lists this ribosomal RNA (607 nucleotides) under Plateros sp. UPOL A00505. Its description in RNAcentral is "SSU rRNA". It matches the Rfam family "Eukaryotic small subunit ribosomal RNA", at positions 910 to 1477 of the family's 1831-position model. The record is from RNAcentral. Lineage: Eukaryota; Metazoa; Arthropoda; Insecta; Coleoptera; Lycidae.
GGUGAAAAUCUUGGACCGUCGCAAGACGGACAGAAGCGAAAGCAUUUGCCAAAAACGUUUUCAUUGAUCAAGAACGAAAGUUAGAGGUUCGAAGGCGAUCAGAUACCGCCCUAGUUCUAACCAUAAACGAUGCCAGCUAGCGAUCCGCCGACGUUCCUCCGAUGACUCGGCGGGCAGCUUCCGGGAAACCAAAGCUUUUGGGUUCCGGGGGAAGUAUGGUUGCAAAGCUGAAACUUAAAGGAAUUGACGGAAGGGCACCACCAGGAGUGGAGCCUGCGGCUUAAUUUGACUCAACACGGGAAACCUCACCAGGCCCGGACACCGGAAGGAUUGACAGAUUGAGAGCUCUUUCUUGAUUCGGUGGGUGGUGGUGCAUGGCCGUUCUUAGUUGGUGGAGCGAUUUGUCUGGUUAAUUCCGAUAACGAACGAGACUCUGGCCUGCUAACUAGGCGUAUUUCCGACAUCUCGAAGGCCCGCCGGCCUGGUGCGUUCGCGUGCCAAGUCGUGCGCGGUUUUUACUGUCGGCGUACAAACAAUUCUUCUUAAAGGGACAGGCGGCUUCUAGCCGCACGAGAUAGAGCAAUAACCGGUCUGUGAUGCCCUUAGA